CUAAAAAAAAUCGAGUCCACAUUAAGCUCAACCACGUAUUAGUCCACUCAUAGAACUAUCCACUAUAUAACAUACAACUUAAAUGUGGACUCGAUCCUAACUUGAUUUCGAGUACAAAAUUUGUAGACAAGAGUAUAUAUUUCAACCCUCCCCAUUUUAUCGAUAUCGAUAAGAAACGCAAGCGUGUAGCGUACUACACUAUUUAAAUUGCUUAUGUUUGUACUAUGGUUCUUUGACAGUUCUUUGUCGUACAUUUUGGUAAUGAUUUGCGAAACAAAGGGAUUCCACUCGCUAGUAUGGAAGUCCCGUCUCUUAAAACGUAGUGAUUAUAUGCUCUUUGGUCAGAGGCACAUAUCGGUAUAUCCAUAAAGCCUUGCACUUGGGUCUGGCCGGUUAGAACAUAGACAAAAGUCUGCAAUGUCAAUGCUGUCAAAGUAAUCGACUAUUUUCAUUUUCAAAACUAUCAGUUUUCAUAUAAAAUGAUUAAAUAACGAUUUAUGUUCUUGAAAUAGAUUUAUUGAUUAAUUUUUAAAAUUAAAAAUCCACCGCACAGUAUCUCCGCUCAGACUCGGUUAAAGUUUAAUCCAUUGUACUAAACUAAGAAACAACAAUUAUUUCAAGAGGGUGAACGUGAGAAAAUAAUCCAUCAUUUCCUUGAAAAGGCUCAAAAUCAAAAGGCACGGAUCCGCCACAUAAUUCCGACUAGUUGUAGUUUCUCGGUGACCAUCAACAAGACCGCUGCAUUGAGCUGUGGAGCAGAAAGUGUCCGACAGUCGGCUAGAUAUACUAAUUUAAAAACCUCACCCCAACAAAAACAAAAAAUGAAAAAAUACAAAAAGAAAUUCCGUCGCCGGGAUUCGAACCCAGAACCACUAGCUAGAACUGGAUCACUACCUACCAAAACCCGCCAGGCUAAACCGGUUGUCAAUUUUAGUACUGAGAUACAAAGAGAGCGCCACUAGUAUAAACGAACUUUUGAAAGGGGCAUUUUUUUGUAUGGAGUUAGCGUUCUUCUCCUAGUGAGUAUUAUAUUCUUUG
Long non-coding RNA from Cydia pomonella (codling moth), 1038 nucleotides. RefSeq lists it as uncharacterized. The record is from RefSeq and is a predicted model, not a curated record. NCBI's taxonomy places the organism in Eukaryota, Metazoa, Arthropoda, Insecta, Lepidoptera, Tortricidae. The transcript is spliced from 3 exons.